This 57-nucleotide ribosomal RNA is filed under the name Schistosoma japonicum. RNAcentral describes it as "partial 5.8S ribosomal RNA". The stretch from base 9 to 57 matches the Rfam family "5.8S ribosomal RNA", at positions 1 to 49 of the family's 154-position model. Rfam says of the family: 5.8S ribosomal RNA (5.8S rRNA) is a component of the large subunit of the eukaryotic ribosome. It is transcribed by RNA polymerase I as part of the 45S precursor that also contains 18S and 28S rRNA. Lineage: Eukaryota; Metazoa; Platyhelminthes; Trematoda; Strigeidida; Schistosomatidae. The record is from RNAcentral.
UGGCGUACAACUUUGAGCGGUGGAUCACUCGGCUCGUGUGUCGAUGAAGAGUGCAGC